This 445-nucleotide ribosomal RNA is filed under the name uncultured marine eukaryote. RNAcentral describes it as "bacterial SSU rRNA". It matches the Rfam family "Eukaryotic small subunit ribosomal RNA", at positions 619 to 1063 of the family's 1831-position model. The record is from RNAcentral.
UUAAAAAGCUCGUAGUCGAAUUUUUAAGGGAAUCAAUUUUAUGUGGUCUUAAUGAACUGCAAAGGAAGAUGAUUUAUCUUAUUUUAUGCUUUUGCACCAUUGGAAUUCGUUUUCUGAUAGUGGAGUAAGUUUGUGUUUACUUUGAGAAAAUUAGAGUGUUCAAAGCAGUCUUACGGCUUUAUAUUAAAGCAUGGAAUGAUAAAUAAUGACAUCGGUAAAUUUUUGUUGGUUUGAGAGACUGAUGUAAUGAUUUAUAGAGUUAGUCGGAGGUAUUAGUAUUUUAUCGUUAGAAGUGAAAUUCUGGGAUCGACAAAAGACUAACAACUGCGAAAGCAUUUACCUAGAAUUUGCUCCUUGAUCAAGAACGUAAGUUGGGGGAUCGAAGACGAUCAGAUACCGUCGUAGUCUCAACUUUAAACUAUAUCAGCUAGGGGUUGGCAAAUGU